AUGAAUCUCAUUUGAUGGACAGAGAAGAUUUAGGUGACAGUUGAUAACCGUGUAAACGCAAAAAGUGUCAACUUUUCCUAGUAUUGUAGUUUUUACCUAUUUGAAAACAAUAAAAAUAGGGAAGGGCGGCACUUUUCCCCUUAAAGAAAGCUGCUGCUCAGGGUACCCAUGUGUGGCUAUUUUCAAGAAAAUUCACUCCACUCUGAUCUAAACCCUAUUCAAUGUCUUUCUUUACAUUGCAGGUCUCUCUCUCUCUCUCUCUCUCUCUCUCUCUCUCUCACAUAAACAAACACACACACCUUUUUGAGCCAUGCUUUUCCAUUUACUACACUUAGAAACCUUAGCUCUUCUUUCAUUAUAGGGCUCAUGCCCCGCUUCCCAUGUUCUAGAGAAGAAAUAUCUAUUAAAGGCCUAGUUUUGUGAUUUCAUU
Molecule: long non-coding RNA, 430 nt
Filed under: Amborella trichopoda
Lineage: Eukaryota; Viridiplantae; Streptophyta; Magnoliopsida; Amborellales; Amborellaceae
Description: long non-coding RNA (ATRI_LNC003600)
Source: RNAcentral